AAAUUGAAGAGUUUGAUCAUGGCUCAGAUUGAACGCUGGCGGCAGGCCUAACACAUGCAAGUCGAACGGUAACAGGAAGCAGCUUGCUGCUUUGCUGACGAGUGGCGGACGGGUGAGUAAUGUCUGGGAAACUGCCUGAUGGAGGGGGAUAACUACUGGAAACGGUGGCUAAUACCGCAUAACGUCGCAAGACCAAAGAGGGGGACCUUCGGGCCUCUUGCCAUCAGAUGUGCCCAGAUGGGAUUAGCUUGUUGGUGAGGUAACGGCUCACCAAGGCGACGAUCCCUAGCUGGUCUGAGAGGAUGACCAGCCACACUGGAACUGAGACACGGUCCAGACUCCUACGGGAGGCAGCAGUGGGGAAUAUUGCACAAUGGGCGCAAGCCUGAUGCAGCCAUGCCG
RNAcentral lists this ribosomal RNA (402 nucleotides) under Salmonella enterica. Its description in RNAcentral is "bacterial SSU rRNA". It matches the Rfam family "Bacterial small subunit ribosomal RNA", at positions 1 to 399 of the family's 1533-position model. Lineage: Bacteria; Pseudomonadati; Pseudomonadota; Gammaproteobacteria; Enterobacterales; Enterobacteriaceae. The record is from RNAcentral.